GACGAACGCUGGCGGCGUGCCUAAUACAUGCAAGUCGAACGAGAGCGACCGGUGCUUGCACUGGUCAAUCUAGUGGCGAACGGGUGAGUAACACGUGGGUAACCUGCCCAUCAGAGGGGGAUAACAUUCGGAAACGGAUGCUAAAACCGCAUAGGUUCUUUAGUCGCAUGACUGAAGAAGGAAAAGAGGCUUCGGCUUCUGCUGAUGGAUGGACCCGCGGUGCAUUAGCUAGUUGGUGAGGUAACGGCUCACCAAGGCGAUGAUGCAUAGCCGACCUGAGAGGGUGAUCGGCCACAUUGGGACUGAGACACGGCCCAAACUCCUACGGGAGGCAGCAGUAGGGAAUCUUCCGCAAUGGACGCAAGUCUGACGGAGCAACGCCGCGUGAGUGAAGAAGGAUUUCGGUUCGUAAAACUCUGUUGUUAGAGAAGAACAGCGCAUAGAGUAACUGUUAUGCGGUGACGGAUCUAACCAGAAAGCCACG
This 484-nucleotide ribosomal RNA is filed under the name Granulicatella elegans. RNAcentral's name for it is "bacterial SSU rRNA". It matches the Rfam family "Bacterial small subunit ribosomal RNA", at positions 28 to 495 of the family's 1533-position model. Lineage: Bacteria; Bacillati; Bacillota; Bacilli; Lactobacillales; Carnobacteriaceae. The record is from RNAcentral.